Molecule: ribosomal RNA, 396 nt
Filed under: uncultured bacterium
Lineage: Bacteria
Description: partial 16S ribosomal RNA
Rfam family: Bacterial small subunit ribosomal RNA
Source: RNAcentral
AUACGAAGGGUGCAAGCGGUAAUCGGAAUUACUGGGCGUAAAGCGCGCGUAGGUGGUUUUGUAAGUUGGAGGUGAAAGCCCCGGGCUCAACCUGGGAAUUGCCUCCAAAACUGCAUGACUAGAGUACGGUAGAGGGGAGCGGAAUUUCCUGUGUAGCGGUGAAAUGCGUAGAUAUAGGAAGGAACACCAGUGGCGAAGGCGACGACCUGGACGUAUACUGAAACUGAGGGGCGAAAGCGUGGGGAGCAAACAGGAUUAGAUACCCUGGUAGUCCACGCCGUAAACGAUGUCAACUAGCCGUUGGGAUCCUUGAGAUCUUAGUGGCGCAGCUAACGCAUUAAGUUGACCGCCUGGGGAGUACGGCCGCAAGGUUAAAACUCAAAUGAAUUGACGGGG